UAGAGUUUGAUCAUGGCUCAGAUUGAACGCUGGCGGCAGGCCUAACACAUGCAAGUCGAGCGGUAGAGAGAAGCUUGCUUCUCUUGAGAGCGGCGGACGGGUGAGUAAUGCCUAGGAAUCUGCCUGGUAGUGGGGGAUAACGUUCGGAAACGGACGCUAAUACCGCAUACGUCCUACGGGAGAAAGCAGGGGACCUUCGGGCCUUGCGCUAUCAGAUGAGCCUAGGUCGGAUUAGCUAGUUGGUGAGGUAAUGGCUCACCAAGGCGACGAUCCGUAACUGGUCUGAGAGGAUGAUCAGUCACACUGGAACUGAGACACGGUCCAGACUCCUACGGGAGGCAGCAGUGGGGAAUAUUGGACAAUGGGCGAAAGCCUGAUCCAGCCAUGCCGCGUGUGUGAAGAAGGUCUUCGGAUUGUAAAGCACUUUAAGUUGGGAGGAAGGGCAGUUACCUAAUACGUGAUUGUUUUGACGUACC
This 476-nucleotide ribosomal RNA is filed under the name Pseudomonas sp. 01WB03.4-28. RNAcentral's name for it is "bacterial SSU rRNA". It matches the Rfam family "Bacterial small subunit ribosomal RNA", at positions 1 to 479 of the family's 1533-position model. The record is from RNAcentral. Lineage: Bacteria; Pseudomonadati; Pseudomonadota; Gammaproteobacteria; Pseudomonadales; Pseudomonadaceae.